Molecule: RNA transcript, 3195 nt
Organism: Pipistrellus kuhlii (Kuhl's pipistrelle)
Lineage: Eukaryota; Metazoa; Chordata; Mammalia; Chiroptera; Vespertilionidae
Gene: ACTR8
Gene name: actin related protein 8
Exons: 14
Source: RefSeq, a predicted model, not a curated record
CGCGGGGGGUGGGGGCCUCCAGUUCCGGCUGGUGUGGCGCGGCGCGGGAGCUGGGAGCUCGUGGGCGCUGCCGCCGCGAUGACCCAGGCGGAGAAGGGGGACGCGGAAAACGGGAAGGAGAAGGGCGGGGAGAAGGAGAAGGAGCAGCGCGGAGUGAAGCGGCCCAUCGUGCCCGCGCAGGUGCCGGAGUCGCUGCAGGAGCAAAUCCAGAGCAACUUCAUUGUUGUCAUACAUCCGGGUUCAACAACUUUAAGGAUUGGUCGAGCCACAGACACACUUCCUAUCAGCAUUCCUCAUGUCAUUGCACGAAGACACAAGCAACAAGGGCAACCCUUGUACAAAGACAACUGGCUCCUAAGGGAAGGACUGAAUAAACCUGAAAGUAACGAACAAAGACAAAAUGGUCUUAAAAUGGUGGAUCAAGCGAUAUGGUCUAAAAAGAUGUCAAAUGGUACAAGACGGAUUCCUGUGUCUCCUGAACAGGCACGCUCCUACAACAAGCAGAUGCGACCUGCAAUUUUAGAUCACUGUUCUGGAAAUAAAUGGACAAACACAUCUCACCACCCUGAGUUUUUGGUAGGGGAAGAGGCCUUGUAUGUUAAUCCACAGGACUGUUACAAUAUCCACUGGCCUAUUAGAAGAGGGCAGUUAAAUACUCACCCAGGACCUGGGGGCUCCCUUACAGCUGUUCUGGCAGAUAUUGAAGUAAUAUGGUCUCAUGCAAUACAAAAAUACCUGGAAAUUCCAUUGAAAGAUUUAAAGUAUUAUAGGUGUAUCUUGUUAAUUCCUGAUAUUUAUAAUAAGCAGCAUGUGAAAGAAUUAGUGAAUAUGAUCCUAAUGAAGAUGGGUUUCUCAGGGAUUGUGGUCCAUCAGGAGUCUGUGUGUGCCACUUUUGGAAGUGGUUUAAGCAGCACGUGUAUUGUAGAUGUUGGGGACCAGAAGACAAGUGUAUGCUGUGUGGAGGAUGGAGUCUCUCAUCGGAAUACUCGACUCUGUCUGGCAUAUGGAGGGUCUGACGUAUCAAGAUGUUUUUACUGGCUGAUGCAGCGAGCUGGAUUCCCUUACAGAGAAUGCCAAUUGACAAAUAAAAUGGAUUGCCUUCUUCUACAGCACCUAAAGGAAACUUUCUGUCAUUUGGAUCAGGACAUCUCUGGGCUUCAGGACCAUGAGUUUCAGAUUCGGCAUCCAGACUCACCUGCCCUGCUUUACCAGUUUCGAUUGGGAGAUGAAAAACUCCAGGCUCCAAUGGCUUUGUUUUACCCAGCAACCUUUGGAAUCGUCGGACAAAAAAUGACGACUCUGCAGCACAGGUCCCAGGGUGACCCCGAGGACCCUCAUGAUGAACACUACCUGCUGGCCACACAGAGCAAGCAAGAGCAGUCUGCAAAAGCUACUGCUGACCGCAAGUCUGCAUCCAAGCCCAUUGGAUUUGAAGGGGAUCUUCGUGGGCAGACCUCGGAUCUUCCAGAAAGACUCCAUUCCCAGGAGGUGGAUUUGGGGUCCUCCCAGGCAGACUGUCUGAUGGCUGGCAACGACUCCGAGGAGGCCCUCACCGUGCUGAUGUCCAGGAAGACUGCCAUCUCGCUGUUUGAAGGGAAAGCCCUAGGCCUGGACAAAGCCAUCCUUCACAGCAUAGACUGCUGUUCAUCUGAUGACACCAAAAAGAAAAUGUACAGUUCCAUCCUGGUGGUGGGAGGUGGCCUGAUGUUUCAUAAAGCACAAGAAUUUCUGCAGCACAGAAUUCUCAACAAAAUGCCACCUUCCUUCAGGCGAAUUAUUGAAAACGUAGAAGUCAUCACAAGGCCCAAGGACAUGGAUCCUCGGCUGAUCGCAUGGAAAGGGGGCGCAGUGCUGGCUUGUUUGGAUACGACACAGGAACUGUGGAUCUACCAGCGAGAAUGGCAGCGCUUUGGUGUCCGCAUGUUACGAGAGCGAGCUGCCUUCGUAUGGUGAAAUGGACAGGAAAAGUCACUCUUGGAGACCCGAAACAAGCCUCUUGGUAUAAAAGACUCUUAGAGAAUAUAUAUAUAUAUAUAUAUAUAUUUUUAAGUUUAUUAUCCUAAGUGCUUCAAUUUCAUGGAAAAUAAAUGAAUUUUAACUUGUGUUGAGGACAUGACAUUGUUGUGAAAUUAUAAGCUACUUUUGCAAUCGACCUUUGAGAAUAAAUGCACUAGUGUCUCCCGCCCCUUUCAGGGUCUCAGGAACCUCCCAGUGAUGUGAGAGCUUGAGCCAUUGUCGAGUGGUGAAGCUCUUCAUUGCAGUUGACUUCUGAGUGACAUGAGACAGUCUCCUGCAUCCCUGAGGAGGGGGGUGUGAUUUGGGAGCAUGCAUUGUAUGGUCAUGACAUUUUCCCUCUUGGCUAGAACAGCGAGCACAUCAUGUGUCUUGAGUGUUCUCAGAAUUUCAAAUAGGAACAAGUUUUUGUUUUUAAAAUUUUUCUGUUACAUUACAAAAACGAUGAGGGCAGAUUCAGGUCUAGAUUUGUCAGGGCAGAUUGGGCUGUCUGGUUUUUGUUACUCAACAUGCUCUAGGGCAAGGAAAAGAAAACAGUCAUCAUCUGACCAAAACAGAACGAGAGCUGGAAAGGGAAUUUUGUUUCUUUGAUACGGCCAAUAGGAAUGACUUUGGUAUAAUUUAGGGUUGUUAGCAUGUGUUGUACAGAUAAGCCGGCUGACUGCUGCAAUUACUGCUAACAAUUCUCUUUAUCUGAAGGACCAGUGAAAACAUUUGGAGUUCUUUGUGUUCAGUGUGGCCAGUUGACCUUAACCUGUGAGCAGUGUGAAGCAGACAGCUAUCACCACCAGAGGGCCAGGCCUUAGAGAAGCCUGAGCAGAAGAGGAGGCCUUGCUUGCUGAACUGAACCAGAGCCAGUCAGUGAGCACAGCAUGGGGGCUCAGAGACCUGGAAGGGUUGGGCAGUGCCCAAUUCCUGCCAGUUUCUCGCACUUGCUUCCACUAUCUCACCACCAAGAACUGGAGGUGGGACUGGGGCAAAGACGAACAUAGGGACAGUUAAGGGGUAAAUAAGAGUGGAAUAUAGAAUAAGGAUGGUAAUAAGUCCUUAGACAUGGAGCAAUGCUGGUAAUAGCAUUUUACAAUAAGAGUAUUUUAUGUAUCUGCCUAGUAGGUUAGGAACAAGGGAGGGUGUAACAAAAUGUAACUUGGUAGUACUAUUUGGAAUGUAUGCCUUCAGUUU